UUUCAGGUAUUAUGUCAGCUUUCUGGAUAAGUUAUGUCAUAUCGCUGAUAUUGCCUAUGCACCAUGUGACUUGUUGUUGAUACAUGUUCCUGAUUUUCUCAAUAGAUAUACUUAUAUGCUAGGGUACUCUAUCGAUGACUUAGAGGGCAUUCUCUCUGUCACUUGUAUUGGCUUGGUUGUUGAGUGUUCUUUUAGGUUGAUGCUUGUGCACCACUUACUGCGAGUUGACCGAGUUCAAGAUGACAUUCCCUGGGAUCCUGGUGGAUUCACGGCAUGGUGAUGAGGAGAAGCAAUGGGUACACGCGAAGAAGAGUGAAGCUGGAGCAUGCACGAGCAAUGGAGAAGAGCCGCAACUUAGAGAGUGAUCAAGCGAGUGCUACAUGAUCAAAGCCCGGUGAGCUGUUUCAUGACCCCAAUCUGAAUAUAUCAUCCAUUGAUCAUGCUGAAAUCAUUUGAUAUUUGAGUUUCUUAAGCCAUUUCUUAAAUGAUUUCCCACUGAAUUUUAUUUGACAUAUUGUGCUUGAUGUGAACAUGAGAACUGAUUAUUGAAUGCCUUGUAAACUAGUGAUCUAUACAAUGAUUGCUUUGCUGAAAUUAGUGAGAACUAGUAGUUUUGAGUGCUCAAAUCCCUAGUACACUAGAAAACUUCAUCAUUUUCUGAAUUUACUAUGAUACACCUAGAUCACCAUGUUUAGAUGCUGAAUUUGUGCUAAGUGUGUUCCCAUUGAGAGCAAUCACCUAACCACUAUGGAUUAGCAUGCUAUGUUCCCUGGAUCGGUAGUAUGUGAACCAAACAUGGUUGAGUGAUGAUUCUUGUUUUUGUUCAAAAAAAAGUAUAUAUUAUAAUGAAUAAUUAUUUGAUCUUACCUAACAGUAGCAUGCCAUGUUCCCUGGAUCGGUGGCUUGUGAAAUCUGGUUGGAUCGGAUAGGAGUUAAUUAUGUUAAAAAAUGUAAUUGUCGAACCAGGUGUAUACCAUGUUCUCGGGAUCGGUGGUAUGUUCCUUUGGGGAGGCAAACAAAAAAAACUAAUAAUUGGUUGAGCUGGGUGUAUACCAUGUUCUCGGGAUCGCUGGUAUGUUCCUAUGGUGAGACUAAUAAUAAUAUAAUCAUUGCUUUAUCUCUGUAAAUAAGUGAUUUGAUCACAAGAUUUAAUUCCAGUUCUUUUUGUUCUCGGGAUCAUGCUCUCUUUAGGAACCAUUUGGCACAGUCAUCACUUAAACUUGUUGAUCCUCUUUUAUCAUUGUAAAAGUUUAAAAUGGUCAAGUCUACUAGUAUUCUACCGCUUUGAAGCACUCCUAACCAUUGAUUUUCACUAGCUAAGUCCAAAGCAUGCAUUGUUUGGAGAUCUACUUCACUUGGCAUUCUCUAGUCAGCUCACUGUUCACAUUCUUGCUAUUGUCAUUUGCCUUUGCUUGAGGACAAGCAAAGAUUUAAGUGUGGGGGAACUUGAUAAGCACAUUUCAUAUAUAUAAUUUGACACCCAAAUAUAGCAUCUGUUGUGAUCUGACAAUCAAUUCUUGCUAUGAAUUACCGCAUAUUUUAAUGAGAAUCAUAUAAAGGGUUCAUUUACUUGUCACUUGUUUCUUUUGCAGAAAAGUGCGCAAAGGCACUAUAAUCGUCAAGAUUCCGAACAUAUGGCUAACCAGAAGAGAGAAGGGCAUGAAAGAAAUACGUCAAGGACUUCAGUGAGAAGAAAAGAAGUAUCCAGGGGAGCAAACUAAAAGAAGAAGGGGAUCUUCUUGGGAAGAAAUGAAUAGAAGAGGAGGGCCAAAUCAUAAAAGUGGCAGAUCAGAUGGGGAUCAAAAUCCCUAGAUGCAUCCAUUCCCAAAUUGGGCCUGGUAUAUCUCCAUCUCCUCUCUCCCCCGCUUCCUUCUCCACCUACGGCCGCCGCUGCGGCCAGGCCAGCGUGGCGGCGCGCCAACCAGCUACCAGUGCCCACCUCGCACGACCUCUCCCUCCAGCCGGCGCGCCCGGCCAGACACACCGCCGCUGCUUCUUCUUCCCUUCUUCCCCGCUUCGCUGAAUCCCUGUCUGCUGCUCCUUCUUCUCCGCGCCCCUGCUGCUGCUCGUCUACAAUCUCCCUCGCUGCUCCUUCUCCCUCCUUCCGCUGCUUUCUGCUUCUUCUUCUUGCGCCGAGCCGCCGCUGCUCCUUCUUCUUCUCCUAUACCUGCUGCUGCUCUUCACCUUCCCUUGCCCCAACUUGCUGUUGCUCUCUCUCCAACGCCCCUGCUGCUUAUCCCUUCUCUCUGAACCCCCUUCGCUGCUCCUCUGUUCCUUGCUGCCGUCCCUCCUCAACGCCUCCUCCUCUUCCUCUGCUUCUUUGCUUCUUUUCUGAACCAUAAUCCAGCUGUUGUUCUCUCUCUCUCUCCCUCUCUCUCAAAUUUCUGUAACCUUGAGUAGUGUAAUGUUUAGGGUAGUGUAAUGUUUAGACUUUGUAAUAUUCAGAAUUGAGAUGUGUAUGGCAAAUGCUUUGUAAUGUUCAGAUUUGAGUAGUGCUUGAAGCUUGUUUAGUUUCA
Molecule: long non-coding RNA, 2516 nt
Organism: Triticum aestivum (bread wheat)
Lineage: Eukaryota; Viridiplantae; Streptophyta; Magnoliopsida; Poales; Poaceae
Exons: 2
Source: RefSeq, a predicted model, not a curated record